RNAcentral lists this ribosomal RNA (200 nucleotides) under uncultured bacterium. Its description in RNAcentral is "partial 16S ribosomal RNA". It matches the Rfam family "Bacterial small subunit ribosomal RNA", at positions 30 to 230 of the family's 1533-position model. The record is from RNAcentral.
AUUGAACGCUGGCGGCAGGCCUAACACAUGCAAGUCGUGCGGAUGACGGGAGCUUGCUCCUUGAUUCAGCGGCGGACGGGUGAGUAAUGCCUAGGAAUCUGCCUGGUAGUGGGGGACAACGUUUCGAAAGGAACGCUAAUACCGCAUACGUCCUACGGGAGAAAGCAGGGGACCUUCGGGCCUUGCGCUAUCAGAUGAGC